GAGGGUAUAGCUCAAGUGGUAGAGCACAUGUUUAGCAUGCAUGAGGUCCUGGGUUCAAUGCCUGGUACCUCCU
Camelus ferus (Wild Bactrian camel) is the source of this 73-nucleotide transfer RNA. It matches the Rfam family "tRNA". Rfam says of the family: Transfer RNA (tRNA) molecules are approximately 80 nucleotides in length. Their secondary structure includes four short double-helical elements and three loops (D, anti-codon, and T loops). The record is from Rfam. Lineage: Eukaryota; Metazoa; Chordata; Mammalia; Artiodactyla; Camelidae.